UCCUAGCAGUAAACGUUGCAAGUUAGGUGUUGCAUAACUUUCGAGGUUGUGCAGUAUCGUAGCGAAGGCGUUAAACUUGCCGCCUGGGGAGUACGGUCGCAAGGUUGAAACUUAAAGGAAUUGGCGGGGGAGCACUACAAGGAGUGCGGCGUGCGGUUUAAUCUAAUUCAACACAGAAAAUCCCACCAAGAGCGACAGCAGAAUGAAGGUCAGAUUAAAGGUUUUACC
This 228-nucleotide ribosomal RNA is filed under the name uncultured bacterium. Its description in RNAcentral is "partial 16S ribosomal RNA". It matches the Rfam family "Archaeal small subunit ribosomal RNA", at positions 745 to 972 of the family's 1478-position model. The record is from RNAcentral.